This is a long non-coding RNA of Acanthopagrus latus (yellowfin seabream), 456 nucleotides long. RefSeq lists it as uncharacterized. The record is from RefSeq and is a predicted model, not a curated record. The transcript is spliced from 3 exons. Lineage: Eukaryota; Metazoa; Chordata; Actinopteri; Spariformes; Sparidae.
GCGAGAUCAAAUCGCGACUCACCUGAUCGGUACCUCCUCGGGUCAGCUGAUCGGCCCACUUGAGCCCACGGAGACCACCUGUUUGCUAACUUCCACUGUGAGCUGGGCUGCAGAGACACUACACCAAGUGACAAAUGAGGGUGACAGAAUUUGUAACUGAGUGCUAAGCGAGAGAUCACUGCAGCCAGCAGCCGCCGAGUGGACUGGAAUGUAAACCCAUGUGGCCAAUUGUGCACCGUCAAGAGCGCUGCCGUUCCUGUUGUCUCUCCUCCUCCUCUGCCCUCGGCCGGCCUGAAGAUCUCAGCCAUCACUGUUUUGCUCCACCUUGCUGUCCAGCAUCACAAAUGCUGCCAGUUGAUGUUUGUCCCACUGCUUUAGCGGUAUCCCGCAGAGUCUACUCAGGGCAGAAAACACACCCUAUUAAACACUGUUGAGUGCACAAUGACCUUAUGAGGA